This 591-nucleotide ribosomal RNA is filed under the name uncultured fungus. RNAcentral's name for it is "eukaryotic LSU rRNA". The stretch from base 199 to 352 matches the Rfam family "5.8S ribosomal RNA". Lineage: Eukaryota; Fungi. The record is from RNAcentral.
AGUAAAAGUCGUAACAAGGUUUCCGUAGGUGAACCUGCGGAAGGAUCAUUACAGAGUUCAUGCCCGAAAGGGUAGACCUCCCACCCUUGUGUAUUAUUACUUUGUUGCUUUGGCGAGCUGCCUUCGGGCCUUGUAUGCUCGCCAGAGAAAACCAAAACUCUUUUUAUUAAUGUCGUCUGAGUACUAUAUAAUAGUUAAAACUUUCAACAACGGAUCUCUUGGUUCUGGCAUCGAUGAAGAACGCAGCGAAAUGCGAUAAGUAAUGUGAAUUGCAGAAUUCAGUGAAUCAUCGAAUCUUUGAACGCACAUUGCGCCCCUUGGUAUUCCGGGGGGCAUGCCUGUUCGAGCGUCAUUUCAACCCUCAAGCUUAGCUUGGUAUUGAGUCUAUGUCAGUAAUGGCAGGCUCUAAAAUCAGUGGCGGCGCCGCUGGGUCCUGAACGUAGUAAUAUCUCUCGUUACAGGUUCUCGGUGUGCUUCUGCCAAAACCCAAAUUUUUCUAUGGUUGACCUCGGAUCAGGUAGGGAUACCCGCUGAACUUAAGCAUAUCAAUAAGCGGAGGAAAAGAAACCAACAGGGAUUGCCUCAGUAACG